UACAGAGGUCCCAAGCGUUACUGAGAAUCACUGGGUUUAAAGGGUGCGUAGGUGGUCCGUUAAGUCAGUUGUGAAAUCCCCGGGCUCAACCCGGGAACUGCUUCUGAUACUGGCGGACUUGAGGCCAGUAGGGGUCACUAGAACUGACGGUGGAGCGGUGAAAUGCGUAGAUAUCGUCAGGAAUGCCGGUGGUGAAGACGGGUGACUGGGCUGGUUCUGACGCUGAGGCGCGAAAGCUCGGGGAGCGAACGGG
RNAcentral lists this ribosomal RNA (253 nucleotides) under uncultured bacterium. Its description in RNAcentral is "partial 16S ribosomal RNA". It matches the Rfam family "Bacterial small subunit ribosomal RNA", at positions 524 to 776 of the family's 1533-position model. The record is from RNAcentral.